GACUCCAUGGCGCAAUAGGCAGCGCGUUCGGUUGUUAACCGAAAGGUUAGUGGUACGAGCCCACCAGGGAGCGCA
Molecule: non-coding RNA, 75 nt
Organism: Parelaphostrongylus tenuis
Lineage: Eukaryota; Metazoa; Nematoda; Chromadorea; Rhabditida; Metastrongylidae
Source: the annotation of a GenBank genome assembly